This 417-nucleotide unclassified non-coding RNA is filed under the name Hevea brasiliensis (rubber tree). Lineage: Eukaryota; Viridiplantae; Streptophyta; Magnoliopsida; Malpighiales; Euphorbiaceae. The record is from RNAcentral.
GUAACCUCCCUCAAAUUGAGACAAGGGUCAAGAGAAGUAUUUAGUCAACAGAGGAGGCUGCUUCCAGUAAAAAUACUUUACAUAAUGUACAGAAAUACUAUGCGUUAAUGAGUACAGUAAUCGAUCAAGAAAGAAGCCAGAAGACUAAUGCUCAUGCUUGACACGAGCCUUUAGUAUUCCGGGGAGAGGAGGUGAGGUCGGAAGCCUGCCAGAUGAGUUUGGGGCAGAUGGAUUAGGGAUAUGAUGCUGAAACAUGUUGGCCAUACUGGAACUCGGACCUUCACCUCCAUCAGCAGAUACAUUCUGUGGGACAGAACCGUCAUUUGAUCUUCCGCAAAAAUUCAUUGCUUUGAGGAUAUAAUUAUCGUCAUGCAGCUCAAACGGAGUGCUGUUGAAGUCGAAAUGCACCAGCUGCAU